CGAGCUCGUGUGGCCUCGCUGAGGGGGGAGCAGGUCUGUGUGCUCGAGGCAUCUCCUCCGGAGAGCUCUCCCCGAGGGAGCUGUGCAGCCAGGAGCUCUCCCGAGGUUUGCAGAGGUUUGUCUGUGUCCCUGCACCCCUGUGCCAGCAUCUCCUCUCAACAGAUGGCUGGAGGGCAGCGAUGAUGGAGGUGAAGUGAUGCAGCCUCAGACUCUGGUACCCAGGAAGAUGCAGCUUUGAUGGCAAGUGAACCUGCAGAUCUGUCUGCUGAAAACACGGCCCCAGAGGAGCCCUGUGGCUGCCCUUGGUCUCAGGUGGCACACACAGAUGGGCACCUCCAGCAGCCUCAGUCCCAGCUCCUCACUCUGCCAUCCCAGCGCCUUUGCAUAAGGAGCAACCCAAGGCACUGGACCAGUCUCAAUAGUGGUGAUUAUUGAAACUUUGUGAGGGCCUUGGUUGGAAGAAGUGCCAAGAAGGCAGAAAUUGAAUCGAGUCUGAUAAAAGUGACUUCCUGAAUAUUGCAUAACAGUUUACGUCUGUCAGGAGGGAAGACAAACAGACCUGACCUUGAACUUGGAAAGUUUCCUCCCAGCAGUGCAUGAACAGCUGACUUGUCCUUCUGGCUGCUCUCAGGUCUUUCUGAGCCAUCGUUGCCCAUCCCAUGUGCCUCCCUCUCUUCUGGCUGCACCCAGGCUGAGUUUGCUGCAAGGGAACACUGCUCAGGCGAUGGAGUAUCCAUGUCAGCCCCCCUACGGUUAAAACCAACCUUUUUGAUACCAAAUUUCCAGCUACUGAAGGUAAUUGAGACUGCAAACAAAAUCUCACUAUCCACUGAUCUGCCAAAUCAAAUUUCUUCUCCUGUUUGCAAAAAUAAGCACCGGUGAAUGAAGAUGAAAGGGAAAUGUUGCUGGUUUCUUCCCUGGAGAUCGUAUUUCUUACUUGUUGCAUAACUGCUUAUUUUAGCAUCAAUCAGCCGAGCCUUUGUUGUGCAGACAAUUCUGUCCUUUUAGAGGAUUUGUGCAGUAUUGUUUCUUCCAAAAUGCCUUUUUUUUUUUGUUUUUGUUAUUAGAUUUAUUUCUUCUCUUAGCAAAUGCCAACUGACAACACCCCAUCAGAGCUCUUCAUAAGUGUUACAUAAAUGUCAUACUAUGUAAACUGAGUGUUGGAUGUAUCAUAUACAUGACUUUUCUUGGAGAACCAUCCAUCAGGUGCUAUCUGAGUGUGUGUGUCACAUUUAUGUAUUUGUACACAAGCCGUGUUUAAGUGUGCAUGCAUGGUAGCCAAAAUUCUGUUAUGGAAAGUACUCAAAAUGCAGAAAUGUCUGAACUCUUCUUGUCAGUGCAACUUCAUCUACCCCCUUUUGUUGAGGCAGAACAAGACUUUAAUUUCAUGUUCAGAUACUCUUUUCCUUCUGCAUCGCUGUGUGUGCAGUGAGAUGGGCAGCAAGGGGCUCAGUGAUGCCUAUUGUUCAGCACACGAGCCUGGGCAGAGUACAUUAUUCAGCACAUUAUUCACAUGUCUGACCACUUUUGGAUUUCACAGCGAUAGAAAACACAGCUCAAAUACUUCUCGGUGCAGUUUUCAAAGCAGAGCCAGGUGCUGAUGUUCUGGAUGGCAAAAAUGCUUUGAGGUUGCAUCUCAUAGGCAUGCUGUGGACCUGCCCUGCCACGCUGUGACCUUCCUUAGAGAUGUGGUCCAGAAAUCAUGGAGAAAUGACCUCAAAGGGUGGGAAGGCUGCAGUGUGCAGUACAGGACCAGAGCAGGGGGAUCUGCAGGUUCCUCAAAAGACACAAUUAUUAAUGUCCUCAUGGUUCUUUCUGUAGCACUUUCCACUACACUGCCUCAGUGCUUCAGCACCUUCAUUAAUCCUCCCCAAACGCCCGUUUUGAAGAUGGGUCAGGGUGACACAUGGAUGGAUUAAGGUCAGUUUUGACUAAUUCAGGGUACUCCGUCUGAAAAGCAUAAUGUCUGCUUUUUCAGAGCAUUUAACAUGAUACAGCACUUCAUACAUGCAAGCACAGCACCCACUGCUUCCAGCUGCACGAAGAUGGAUGUCAGCAAUUCAGGCUAAAGGUUUCCAGCCACGCACCCGCAGUGUGGGCACUGCAGCCACCAGCAGCCAAAAGUUUGGGUUAAUGACUUUGUUAGCAUCAUACAGCCUGUGGCAAGGGCAUGGAGGGAAUCUGCUUCUUUGGGAGAGUUUUGUCCUAUUGUCGCAGUCUCUCUGAGUCUCACAGCCCUUGCAUUGCUCCCUGGGCAGUUUAUGGUUCUGCAGAUAAGAUGAGAAUCUGACCAGUGUUUUCUUUUUGACUUACACAGCAGGUCCGGGAUGUGCAGGUGUUGUAAGGAAAUCAGACUGGGGCAGUGUAAUUAAGAACUGCAUUACAGUAUGUGUGCACAAUAAAAUUGGUAUGGAAUGCCUCA
Pipra filicauda (Wire-tailed manakin) is the source of this 2422-nucleotide long non-coding RNA. RefSeq lists it as uncharacterized. The record is from RefSeq and is a predicted model, not a curated record. The transcript has 6 exons. NCBI's taxonomy places the organism in Eukaryota, Metazoa, Chordata, Aves, Passeriformes, Pipridae.